AACUUGUCUCAGUUCGGAUUGUAGGCUGAAACUCGCCUACAUGAAGCUGGAGUUGCUAGUAAUCGCGAAUCAGCAUGUCGCGGUGAAUACGUUCCCGGGCCUUGUACACACCGCCCGUCACACCAUGAGAGUUGGCAAUACCCAACGUACGUGAUCUAACCCGCAAGGGAGGAAGCGUCCUAAGGUAGGGUCAGCGAUUGGGGUGAAGUCGUAACAAGGUAAC
RNAcentral lists this ribosomal RNA (223 nucleotides) under uncultured bacterium. Its description in RNAcentral is "partial 16S ribosomal RNA". It matches the Rfam family "Bacterial small subunit ribosomal RNA", at positions 1280 to 1500 of the family's 1533-position model. The record is from RNAcentral.